CUACGGGUCGCUGCAGCUAGGCAUCUUCUACAAUGCACGAGAGUGCGAUAGAGCGAAUCAGAGUGUUUUCCAAUUGGAAAACUUUUGCCAAAUGUAAAAAGUUUGGCGAAUAAGGACUGGGUAAGACGAGUGCCAGCCGCCGCGGUAAUACUCGCGGUCCAAGUCGCAGCCAUUUUUAUUGGGUCUAAAACAUCCGUAGCUUGCUGGAUAAGUUUUCUGUGAAAUCCUAUCUCUUAAGGGUAGGGCGGGCAGAAAGUACUAUUCAGCUAGAGACUGGAAGACGGAAAGAGUACGUUUGAAGUAGCGGUAAAAUGUGUUAAUCUCAGACGGACUAACAAUAGCGAAGGCACUUUCCGAGGACAGUUCUGACAGUGAGGGAUGAAGGCCAGGGGCGCAAAACGGAUUAGAUACCCCCGUAGUC
This 421-nucleotide ribosomal RNA is filed under the name uncultured archaeon. RNAcentral describes it as "partial 16S ribosomal RNA". It matches the Rfam family "Archaeal small subunit ribosomal RNA", at positions 323 to 746 of the family's 1478-position model. The record is from RNAcentral.